AAAUCCUAUCGGGUAAGGAAUGGCUAUCCACCCGUACCGAGCAUUUGGGUCUGAACUGGUAACAUAAGGACUAAGCGUAAUGCAGGGAGUGACAGAGCCAAAACGCAAGUGAACUUAUUGAGCCGGGAAAUCGAAGUUAAUGUGUCGGAUAUGGUCGAGACUUUCUAAAAGGUCGUAGACAACAUCUCUUAAACGAUAAUAGCAAGUGAAAAGAGACAUCCC
RNAcentral lists this non-coding RNA (222 nucleotides) under human gut metagenome. The record is from RNAcentral.